RNAcentral lists this transfer RNA (73 nucleotides) under Ovis aries (sheep). It matches the Rfam family "tRNA". Rfam says of the family: Transfer RNA (tRNA) molecules are approximately 80 nucleotides in length. Their secondary structure includes four short double-helical elements and three loops (D, anti-codon, and T loops). The record is from Rfam by way of RNAcentral. Lineage: Eukaryota; Metazoa; Chordata; Mammalia; Artiodactyla; Bovidae.
UACCUGGUGGUCCAGGGGUUAAGACUCUGCACUUGCAUUGCAAGGGGCCCAGGUUUAAUUCCUGGUCAGGGAC